AACGAACGCUGGCGGCAUGCCUAACACAUGCAAGUCGAACGAGACCUUCGGGUCUGCUGGCGCACUGGGCCGUGACCGGUUGGGACCUGCCCUUAAGUUCGGAAUAACGCCCCGAAAAGCGUGCUAAUACCGGCGCAUAUCUUCCAACCAAAGGGUGAUCGCCUUUGGGUGGUCCGUGGUUGGCUUACCUAGUUGGUAGGGUAAACCCCUACGAAGGCUACGAUGCGUAACUGGUCAGCGAGGAUGGUCAGCGACACUGGGACUGAGAAACGGCCCAGACUCCUACGGGAGGGAGGAGUGGGUGAUAUUGGAAAGUGGGCGAAAGCCUGAUGCAGCAAGGACGGGUGAGUGAUGAAGGCCUUAGGGUUGUAAAGCUAGUUUACACGGGAUGAUAAUGACAGUACCGGGAGAAUAAGCACCGGCUAACUUCGUG
RNAcentral lists this ribosomal RNA (433 nucleotides) under uncultured bacterium. Its description in RNAcentral is "partial 16S ribosomal RNA". It matches the Rfam family "Bacterial small subunit ribosomal RNA", at positions 29 to 507 of the family's 1533-position model. The record is from RNAcentral.